GCAAGUCGAACGAACGUAGAGAGCUUGCUCUCUACAAUGUUAGUGGCAAACGGGUUAGUAACACGUGUGACUCUACCCAUCAGUACGGAACAACAUUUGGAAACAAAUGCUAAUACCGUAUAUUCUCGCGAGAGGAAAGAUUUAUCGCUGAUGGAUGAGCCCGCGUAAGAUUAGGUAGUUGGUAGGGUAAUGGCCUACCAAGCCGACGAUCUUUAGCUGGUCUGAGAGGAUGAUC
RNAcentral lists this ribosomal RNA (235 nucleotides) under uncultured bacterium. RNAcentral's name for it is "partial 16S ribosomal RNA". It matches the Rfam family "Bacterial small subunit ribosomal RNA", at positions 57 to 305 of the family's 1533-position model. The record is from RNAcentral.